RNAcentral lists this ribosomal RNA (490 nucleotides) under uncultured bacterium. RNAcentral's name for it is "partial 16S ribosomal RNA". It matches the Rfam family "Bacterial small subunit ribosomal RNA", at positions 30 to 507 of the family's 1533-position model. The record is from RNAcentral.
AUUGAACGCUGGCGGCAGGCCUAACACAUGCAAGUCGAACGGUAACAGGAAGCAGCUUGCUGCUUCGCUGACGAGUGGCGGCCGGGUGAGUAAUGUCUGGGAAGCUGCCUGAUGGAGGGGGAUAACUACUGGAAACGGUAGCUAAUACCGCAUAAUGUCGCAAGACCAAAGAGGGGGACCUUCUGGCCUCUUGCCAUCGGAUGUGCCCAGAUGGGAUUAGCUUGUUGGUGGGGUAACGGCUCACCAAGGCGACGAUCCCUAGCUGGUCUGAGAGGAUGACCAGCCACACUGGAACUGAGACACGGUCCAGACUCCUACGGGAGGCAGCAGUGGGGAAUAUUGCACAAUGGGCGCAAGCCUGAUGCAGCCAUGCCGCGUGUAUGAAGAAGGCCUUCGGGUUGUAAAGUACUUUCAGCGGGGAGGAAGGGAGUAAAGUUAAUACCUUUGCUCAUUGACGUUACCCGCAGAAGAAGCACCGGCUAACUCCGUG